RNAcentral lists this ribosomal RNA (253 nucleotides) under uncultured bacterium. RNAcentral describes it as "partial 16S ribosomal RNA". It matches the Rfam family "Bacterial small subunit ribosomal RNA", at positions 524 to 776 of the family's 1533-position model. The record is from RNAcentral.
UACGUAGGGUGCGAGCGUUGUCCGGAAUUACUGGGCGUAAAGAGCUCGUAGGCGGUUUGUCGCGUCUGCUGUGAAAACUCGGGGCUUAACUCCGGGCCUGCAGUGGGUACGGGCAGACUAGAGUGCGGUAGGGGAGACUGGAAUUCCUGGUGUAGCGGUGAAAUGCGCAGAUAUCAGGAGGAACACCGGUGGCGAAGGCGGGUCUCUGGGCCGUAACUGACGCUGAGGAGCGAAAGCCAGGGGAGCAAACGGG